This 355-nucleotide ribosomal RNA is filed under the name uncultured bacterium. RNAcentral's name for it is "partial 16S ribosomal RNA". It matches the Rfam family "Bacterial small subunit ribosomal RNA", at positions 338 to 690 of the family's 1533-position model. The record is from RNAcentral.
CCUACGGGAGGCAGCAGUGAGGAAUAUUGGUCAAUGGGCGCGAGCCUGAACCAGCCAAGUAGCGUGAAGGAUGACUGCCCUACGGGUGGUAAACUUCGUUUAUAAAGGAAUAAAGUGAGGCACGUGUGCCGUUUUGUAUGUACGUUAUGAAUAAGGAUCGGCUAACUCCGUGCCAGCAGCCGCGGUAAUACGGAGGAUCCGAGCGUUAUCCGGAUUUAUUGGGUUUAAAGGGAGCGUAGAUGGGUUGUUAAGUCAGUUGUUAAAGUUUGCGGCUCACCCGUAAAAUUGCACUUGAUACUGGCAGUCUUGCGUCCAGUUGAGGUAGGCGUCCUUCGUGGUGUCGCGGUGACCUGCU